CAAUAGCGUAUAUUUAAGUUGCUGCAGUUAAAAAGCUCGUAGUUGGAUUUCGGGUGGGAAUGGCCGGUCCGCCGUUUCGGUGUGCACUUGCUACGCCCACCUUGCUGCCGGGGACGUGCUCUUGAGUUCACGCUCGGGACACGGAGUCGGCGAGGUUACUUUGAGUAAAUUAGAGUGUUCAAAGCAGGCCUACGCUCGGAAUACAUUAGAAUGGAAUAACACGAUAGGACUCUGGCCUAUCUUGUUGGUCUGUAGGACCGGAGUAAUGAUUAAGAGGGACAGUCGGGGGCAUUCGUAUUUCAUUGUCAGAGGUGAAAUUCUUGGAUUUAUGAAAGACGAACUACUGCGAAAGCAUUUGCCAAGGAUGUUUUCAUUAA
RNAcentral lists this ribosomal RNA (377 nucleotides) under uncultured eukaryote. Its description in RNAcentral is "partial 18S ribosomal RNA". It matches the Rfam family "Eukaryotic small subunit ribosomal RNA", at positions 592 to 976 of the family's 1831-position model. The record is from RNAcentral.